CAGCAGCCGCGGUAAUACCGGCGGCCCGAGUGGCGGUCACUAUUUAUGGGCUUAAAGCGUCCGUAGCCGGGUUGGGAAGGCCUCCGGGAAAUCUGGCCGCUUAAAGGUCAGAAUGCCGGAGGAUACUCCCAGCCUAGGGAGCGGGAGAGGCCGAGGGGAUUCCCGGAGUAGGGGUGAAAUCCUAUAAUCCCGGGAGGACCACCUGUGGCGAAGGCGCUCGGCUGGAACGCGUCCGACGGUGAGGGACGAAGGCCAGGGGAGCAAACCGGAUUAGAUACCCGGGUAGUCCUGGCUGUAAACGAUGCGGACUUUUUGUCGGACAAGCUAUGAGCUUGUCCGGUGCCGGAGGGAAACCGUUAAGUCCGCCGCCUGGGGAGUCCGGCCGCAAGGCUGAAACUUAAAGGAAUUGGCGGG
Molecule: ribosomal RNA, 414 nt
Filed under: uncultured microorganism
Description: bacterial SSU rRNA
Rfam family: Archaeal small subunit ribosomal RNA
Source: RNAcentral